This 363-nucleotide long non-coding RNA is filed under the name Mytilus galloprovincialis (Mediterranean mussel). The record is from RNAcentral. Lineage: Eukaryota; Metazoa; Mollusca; Bivalvia; Mytilida; Mytilidae.
CCUGAUGUUUGUUUGACAAGAAAGUAUCGAUGUAAAUCCAAUUGAGAGUUUUAUUCUGAACAUGUUCAAAGGAUUUUUUUAACUGAUUUUAAAUCUUCUCUUUUAAAUCAUACGCUCAAAACAUAAGAACUGUAAGUUAUUUCGAAGGCAUGCUCACACUGAAGCUGUUUUUUGAUAUGUAAGGACUAUUCUUAAAUCAAUUAUGUCAAUCAUUGGUCAUUGUUUUGUUUGUUGUCUUAAUUUUCAGUUUAAAACCUAUAUAGCCAAUAUAAAUAUUCUAUGAAAUAGUGCAUGAGUCCUACAUGCUAGUACAGCUAUAUUUCCCAGUAUCUUGAUUGUUUGACAGAAAGUAUUCAAGAACAC